Molecule: long non-coding RNA, 248 nt
Filed under: Carica papaya (papaya)
Lineage: Eukaryota; Viridiplantae; Streptophyta; Magnoliopsida; Brassicales; Caricaceae
Description: long non-coding RNA (CPAP_LNC004988)
Source: RNAcentral
AUAAGGAGGGCAAGAACAAGCCACAUUCCAGCACCUUCCGAGCUGACCGCUUGGGCCCAAAAUGUCCCUCACAAGCAUGUGAAUGGCAGAAGUUGAGGACAAAAGGCACUUCGGUUCAAGAAUGCAUCACCUAAUUAUUUGGUCUGCAUAAUGUUUCUGUAACAUCCCAGAUACCUGGUGGGUUAAAAUAGCCUGAUAAUAGAAACAGAUAUGAGUGCAAGUAAUAAAAUAUUUUUUCAACGGAAAAU